AGUGAACGCUGGCGGUAGGCCUAACACAUGCAAGUCGAACGGAAGCACAGUAAGAGCUUGCUCUUACGGGUGGCGAGUGGCGGACGGGUGAGGAAUACAUCGGAAUCUACUUUUUCGUGGGGGAUAACGUAGGGAACCUUACGCUAAUACCGCAUCCGACCUACGGGUGAAAGCAGGGGAUCUUCGGCCCUUGCGCGAUUGAUUGAGCCGAUGUCGGAUUAGCUAGUUGGCGGGGUAAAGGCCCACCAAGGCGACGAUCCGUAGCUGGUCUGAGAGGAUGAUCAGCCACACUGGAACUGAGACACGGUCCAGACUCCUACGGGAGGCAGCAGUGGGGAAUAUUGGACAAUGGGCGCAAGCCUGAUCCAGCCAUACCGCGUGGGUGAAGAAGGCCUUCGGGUUGUAAAGCCCUUUUGUUGGGAAAGAAAAGCAGCAGGUUAAUACCCCGCUGUUCUGACGGUACCCAAAGAAUAAGCACCGGCUAACUUCGUG
This 492-nucleotide ribosomal RNA is filed under the name uncultured bacterium. RNAcentral describes it as "partial 16S ribosomal RNA". It matches the Rfam family "Bacterial small subunit ribosomal RNA", at positions 29 to 507 of the family's 1533-position model. The record is from RNAcentral.